RNAcentral lists this ribosomal RNA (253 nucleotides) under uncultured bacterium. Its description in RNAcentral is "partial 16S ribosomal RNA". It matches the Rfam family "Bacterial small subunit ribosomal RNA", at positions 524 to 776 of the family's 1533-position model. The record is from RNAcentral.
UACGUAGGGGGCGAGCGUUGUCCGGAUUUAUUGGGCGUAAAGGGCGUGUAGGCGGCCUGGUAAGUCGGGGGUGAAAACUCAGGGCUCAACCCUGAGACUGCCUUCGAUACUGCUGGGCUUGAGUGCUCUAGAGGGUAGUGGAAUUGCCGGUGUAGCAGUGAAAUGCGUAGAGAUCGGCAGGAACACCAGUGGCGAAGGCGACUGCCUGGGGAGUAACUGACGCUGAGGCGCGAAAGCUGGGGGAGCAAACGGG